UACAGAGGGUGCGUGCGUUAAUCGGAGUUACUGGGCGUAAAGGGCUCGUAGGCUGCCAACUAAGUCAGACGUGAAAUCCCUCGGCUUAACCGGGGAACUGCGUCUGAUACUGGAUGGCUUGAGAUCGGGAGAGGGAUGCGGAAUUCCAGGUGUAGCGGUGAAAUGCGUAGAUAUCUGGAGGAACACCGGUGGCGAAGGCGGCAUCCUGGACCGACACUGACGCUGAGGAGCGAAAGCCAGGGGAGCAAACGGG
Molecule: ribosomal RNA, 253 nt
Filed under: uncultured bacterium
Lineage: Bacteria
Description: partial 16S ribosomal RNA
Rfam family: Bacterial small subunit ribosomal RNA
Source: RNAcentral